RNAcentral lists this ribosomal RNA (722 nucleotides) under uncultured Bacilli bacterium. RNAcentral's name for it is "bacterial SSU rRNA". It matches the Rfam family "Bacterial small subunit ribosomal RNA", at positions 47 to 750 of the family's 1533-position model. Lineage: Bacteria; Bacillati; Bacillota; Bacilli. The record is from RNAcentral.
CCUAAUACAUGCAAGUCGAGCGGACCGACGGGAGCUUGCUCCCUUAGGUCAGCGGCGGACGGGUGAGUAACACGUGGGUAACCUGCCUGUAAGACUGGGAUAACUCCGGGAAACCGGGGCUAAUACCGGAUGCUUGAUUGAACCGCAUGGUUCAAUCAUAAAAGGUGGCUUUCAGCUACCACUUACAGAUGGACCCGCGGCGCAUUAGCUAGUUGGUGAGGUAACGGCUCACCAAGGCGACGAUGCGUAGCCGACCUGAGAGGGUGAUCGGCCACACUGGGACUGAGACACGGCCCAGACUCCUACGGGAGGCAGCAGUAGGGAAUCUUCCGCAAUGGACGAAAGUCUGACGGAGCAACGCCGCGUGAGUGAUGAAGGUUUUCGGAUCGUAAAACUCUGUUGUUAGGGAAGAACAAGUACCGUUCGAAUAGGGCGGCACCUUGACGGUACCUAACCAGAAAGCCACGGCUAACUACGUGCCAGCAGCCGCGGUAAUACGUAGGUGGCAAGCGUUGUCCGGAAUUAUUGGGCGUAAAGCGCGCGCAGGCGGUUUCUUAAGUCUGAUGUGAAAGCCCCCGGCUCAACCGGGGAGGGUCAUUGGAAACUGGGGAACUUGAGUGCAGAAGAGGAGAGUGGAAUUCCACGUGUAGCGGUGAAAUGCGUAGAGAUGUGGAGGAACACCAGUGGCGAAGGCGACUCUCUGGUCUGUAACUGACGCUGAG